This 254-nucleotide ribosomal RNA is filed under the name uncultured bacterium. RNAcentral's name for it is "partial 16S ribosomal RNA". It matches the Rfam family "Bacterial small subunit ribosomal RNA", at positions 524 to 776 of the family's 1533-position model. The record is from RNAcentral.
UACGUAGGGUGCAAGCGUUAUCCGGAAUUAUUGGGCGUAAAGAGCUCGUAGGCGGUUUGUCGCGUCUGCCGUGAAAGUCCGGGGCUCAACUCCGGAUCUGCGGUGGGUACGGGCAGACUAGAGGUGAUGUAGGGGAGACUGGAAUUCCUGGUGUAGCGGUGAAAUGCGCAGAUAUCAGGAGGAACACCGAUGGCGAAGGCAGGUCUCUGGGCAUUAACUGACGCUGAGGAGCGAAAGCAUGGGGAGCGAACAGG